RNAcentral lists this long non-coding RNA (279 nucleotides) under Gossypium barbadense (sea-island cotton). Its description in RNAcentral is "long non-coding RNA (GBAR_LNC018031)". Lineage: Eukaryota; Viridiplantae; Streptophyta; Magnoliopsida; Malvales; Malvaceae. The record is from RNAcentral.
UGAAAUCAUACGAUAUAUCUAUGUCACAUGAGCUCACUUUUAUGUGAAAGUUUAUCUGCCUAUUGUAUAUGAUGAGAUGUGCAUAUUCGGUAAAGGGAUGGUAUGCCCGAAGGAAGAGUGAAAUAAAAAUACGAACAACUAUGUUAUAAUUUGAUUGUUAUCUGUUGACACUGCUUAAAACUUACUAAGCAUUGUAAUGCUUACUCCGUUUACUCUGUUUUCUCUGUUUUAUAGAUCUCAUUGCGAAGCUACAGGCUCGGGGAUCGUCAGCAACUAGUC